CUGCCCGUAGCUCAGACUGGAAGAGCAUCGGUUGCCGAAGCCGAAGGUCGCAGGUUCGACGCCUGCCGGGCAGGCCA
This 77-nucleotide transfer RNA is filed under the name Azonexus sp. RNAcentral's name for it is "tRNA-Arg". Lineage: Bacteria; Pseudomonadati; Pseudomonadota; Betaproteobacteria; Rhodocyclales; Azonexaceae. The record is from RNAcentral.